This 425-nucleotide ribosomal RNA is filed under the name uncultured bacterium. RNAcentral describes it as "bacterial SSU rRNA". It matches the Rfam family "Bacterial small subunit ribosomal RNA", at positions 356 to 773 of the family's 1533-position model. The record is from RNAcentral.
GGGGAAUCUUCCGCAAUGGGCGAAAGCCUGACGGAGCAACGCCGCGUGAGUGAAGAAGGUCUUCGGAUCGUAAAGCUCUGUUGUCGGGGACGAAUGUUGAGACCAAGAACAUAGGUUUCAAAUGACGGUACCUGACGAGGAAGCCACGGCUAACUACGUGCCAGCAGCCGCGGUAAUACGUAGGUGGCGAGCGUUGUCCGGAAUUAUUGGGCGUGAAGGGAGCGCAGGCGGGAAGGUAAGUCUAUCUUAAAAGUGCGGGGCUCAACCCCGUGAGGGGAUAGAAACUAUCAUUCUUGAGUGCAGGAGAGGAAAGCGGAAUUCCUAGUGUAGCGGUGAAAUGCGUAGAUAUUAGGAGGAACACCAGUGGCGAAGGCGGCUUUCUGGACUGUAACUGACGCUGAGGCUCGAAAGCCAGGGGAGCGAAC